CGUUUUUUGAUUGUCAAUGAAAAAUAGAGCCUGCCCACUGAAUUAUUUUGAAUGGCCGCGGUAUUUUGACCGUGCGAAGGUAGCAUAAUCAUUAGUCUAUUAAUUGUAGACUGGUAUGAAUGGCUGGAUGAAUAACGACUGUUUUUAACCUAAGAUAUGAAUUUUAGGUUUUUGUGAAGACGCUAAAAUAAGGCUAAAAGACGAGAAGACCCUAUUAAGCUUUACAUAAGUUGUCUAAUCUUUUAGGUCACUAAUGUUAUGUUGGGGCGACAGGAAAAUAGAGAAGCUUUUUCUUAUGUUUAAUGUAUAUAGGUAGAAAAGUAAAAUGAUCCAUAAUUUAUGAUUGUAAGAACAAGUUACUAUAGGGAUAACAGCGUAAUUUUAUUGGAGAGUUCUUAUUGAUAAUAAAGAUUGCGACCUCGAUGUUGAAUUAGGAUACCUUUUGGGUGCAGAAGUUUAAGAAGGUAGUCUGUUCGACUAUUAAAUUCCUACA
RNAcentral lists this ribosomal RNA (493 nucleotides) under Paralamyctes sp. NZ. Its description in RNAcentral is "partial 16S ribosomal RNA". It matches the Rfam family "Bacterial large subunit ribosomal RNA", at positions 1829 to 2600 of the family's 2925-position model. Lineage: Eukaryota; Metazoa; Arthropoda; Chilopoda; Lithobiomorpha; Henicopidae. The record is from RNAcentral.